This 465-nucleotide ribosomal RNA is filed under the name uncultured Klebsiella sp. Its description in RNAcentral is "bacterial SSU rRNA". It matches the Rfam family "Bacterial small subunit ribosomal RNA", at positions 338 to 795 of the family's 1533-position model. The record is from RNAcentral. Lineage: Bacteria; Pseudomonadati; Pseudomonadota; Gammaproteobacteria; Enterobacterales; Enterobacteriaceae.
CCUACGGGCGGCAGCAGUGGGGAAUAUUGCACAAUGGGCGCAAGCCUGAUGCAGCCAUGCCGCGUGUGUGAAGAAGGCCUUCGGGUUGUAAAGCACUUUCAGUGGGGAGGAAGGCGUUAAGGUUAAUAACCUUGUCGAUUGACGUUACCCGCAGGAGAAGCACCGGCUAACUCCGUGCCAGCAGCCGCGGUAAUACGGAGGGUGCAAGCGUUAAUCGGAAUUACUGGGCGUAAAGCGCACGCAGGCGGUCUGUCAAGUCGGAUGAGAAAUCCCCGGGCUCAACCUGGGAACUGCAUUCGAAACUGGCAGGCUAGAGUCUUGUAGAGGGGGGUAGAAUUCCAGGUGUAGCGGUGAAAUGCGUAGAGAUCUGGAGGAAUACCGGUGGCGAAGGCGGCCCCCUGGACAAAGACUGACGCUCAGGUGCGAAAGCGUGGGGAGCAAACAGGAUUAGAUACCCUUGUAGUC